GACGAACGCUGGCGGCGUGCUUAACACAUGCAAGUCGAACGGAAAGGCCCUGCUUUUGUGGGGUGCUCGAGUGGCGAACGGGUGAGUAACACGUGAGUAACCUGCCCUUGACUUUGGGAUAACUUCAGGAAACUGGGGCUAAUACCGGAUAGGAGCUCCUGCUGCAUGGUGGGGGUUGGAAAGUUUCGGCGGUUGGGGAUGGACUCGCGGCUUAUCAGCUUGUUGGUGGGGUAGUGGCUUACCAAGGCUUUGACGGGUAGCCGGCCUGAGAGGGUGACCGGCCACAUUGGGACUGGGAUACGGCCCAGACUCCUACGGGAGGCAGCAGUGGGGAAUAUUGCACAAUGGGCGGAAGCCUGAUGCAGCAACGCCGCGUGCGGGAUGACGGCCUUCGGGUUGUAAACCGCUUUCGCCUGCGACGAAGCGUGAGUGACGGUAAUGGGUAAAGAAGCACCGGCUAACUACGU
Molecule: ribosomal RNA, 467 nt
Filed under: uncultured bacterium
Lineage: Bacteria
Description: partial 16S ribosomal RNA
Rfam family: Bacterial small subunit ribosomal RNA
Source: RNAcentral